Molecule: ribosomal RNA, 576 nt
Filed under: uncultured eukaryote
Lineage: Eukaryota
Description: eukaryotic LSU rRNA
Rfam family: 5.8S ribosomal RNA (bases 182-335)
Source: RNAcentral
AACAAGGUCUCCGUUGGUGAACCAGCGGAGGGAUCAUUAUCGAGUUAUUCAACUCCCAAACCCUAUGUGAACUUACCACUUGUUGCUUCGGCGCGCGCUUCGGCGCCGCCGAGGACACUUAAACUCUUUGUUUUUAUAAGCAUUUCUGAGUGGCCGAAAGGCAAAAAUACAAAUGAAUCAAAACUUUCAACAACGGAUCUCUUGGUUCUGGCAUCGAUGAAGAACGCAGCGAAAUGCGAUAAGUAAUGUGAAUUGCAGAAUUCAGUGAAUCAUCGAAUCUUUGAACGCACAUUGCGCCCGCCAGCAUUCUGGCGGGCAUGCCUGUUCGAGCGUCAUUUCAACCCUCGAGCCCGACUCUUUUGAGGACGGCUCGGCGUUGGGGGACGGCAGACUCCCCCUGGCAUCUCGCCGGGGACGCCGCCCCCGAAAUCUAGUGGCGGCCCUCCGAGGCGACCUCUGCGUAGUAACUUGUUCUCGCACCGGAAAGCUCAGAGCGGCCACGCCGUAAAACCCCAACUUUUUUCAGGUUGACCUCGAAUCAGGUAGGACUACCCGCUGAACUUAAGCAUAUCAAUA